This 727-nucleotide long non-coding RNA is filed under the name Malus domestica (apple). RNAcentral describes it as "long non-coding RNA (MDOM_LNC019092)". Lineage: Eukaryota; Viridiplantae; Streptophyta; Magnoliopsida; Rosales; Rosaceae. The record is from RNAcentral.
AAAGGAAUUCAAACCAAUCUCUAGUAGAACCUCCUACUAGAAUAAAAGGUUGAGUUAUAUGGUAAACACAUAAAUUCAGAGCAUAGGUUUAAGUGCAGUCAAGUAGGACCAAAAUAAAAUACAUCACCCGCAGGUGAGUCCUACAUGCAGAACGUCUGUCAGAAUGCCGAAAAAGAACCCGAAAGCCACCAACCGCUAACUAAAACCUGGAGGGGCGCAAAACAAAGAUGAGUGGGUCAGUAAAACCAAAGAUUUUCCAAAACAUUUCAUUUAAAACAUUUCUAACCCCUCACCGUAAAACCUGUAUAGUUUCCCAGAAAAAUAGUAUAUAAACAUAUAUAUACACAUAUCAUCAAAACUCAGCUCAUAUCCAUCAACAUAACAUCUCAGAAAUAAUGUGUCACGCCAUGCCAAAUAUAAUCAGAAUGCAUCAAUAUCAAUUAGGUGAAAUAAUAAAUCAACCGGAGACCCUACAAUAGUCCUGUACGGCUGAUUCUAAAGCUCAACAUCCCACUCAGCCGGAGUCACCACAGUGACCUAAACGACCCUGCCGGAGUCACCAACUAUAACCUAUACGACACUACACUGCACAUCACUCGGAACUACGUAAAGUAAUAUGUACGAUGAAAGGUGUAUAAAUACGCUCUAGUGCUUCUCUCAUCAAUCAUCAGCGCGCAUAACUAAAGUCACCCACUAGUCGAAAUCACAUCUAGUGAUCUAUACGACU